CGGGAACGGGGCGCGAGUGCGGCGCUCGGUGCGGGGGGAUCGGGACGGUGCGGGGACGUUGCCGUGGGCAGGAGGAUUGCACAGGAGAAGAAGUGCUAAACUGGAUCUCUUGUUCCUGCCUUAAUUCCUGUCACUUCUCAGAGCAGCCUACAGUCCUGCUGUGUGUGUGCAGCGCUCCUGGUGCGGCUUCAGAUUUGAAUAUCCUGGGGCUCUUCCGUUCUUGAUCCGGGCUUCAGCUCUGAGCCGGAGGUUGGUGUCGGUGUCCGAAGGACCGGCAGGGAGCACACAGCUGCACAGCGGGAAUUCCAACUUUAAUGACAUCGGAGUAAGUCCCUGCCUUCACAACAGGCCUACAAGACAUGUUCAUGGAUACUCCGAAGAGUUAGAAAUCAAAAGACAGAUUCCUUAAAAGCAAAUGGAAGUCACAGAUGUACAAACAGAGGAAGGAUUUGGGCCAUUUUUGUUACAGUCUGAAGAAAAGUCAAAUAUAAUCUACCAGCACCAAGAUGCUGUGGUAUGUUUUACAACAUAUCACCCCAACACCAAGCGCUGUCCAUGAGUAACUCCUACAAACUUUUGCUGUAACGAGCCCUCCCCUUGUGUUUUUGGCAUGUUGUUCUCAUGGCUGGACAGUCUGUCUGUGUGUGGUCAGAGUUCUAUGUUCAAAUUUAUCUUGAAGUGAUGGAUUUUUGUCUUGUGCUUCACUUCUCUAACACUUUUUGGUGCUGCCUCUUCCUUUCUUGGGAGGGAUAUAUUAGGAAAUGCCAUAAACAUACGUUCCUAGCAUUUUAAUAAAUGGGAGAUCAGUGUUACUGACAAACAGAACUGUAUCAUCUGGGAUUCAGUAUCUCUUCUUGGCAAUAAGCAAAUUCUCUGAUGAUACGGAAAGUUAAACUCAUCCUUUUUCAUUUGCCAAAGCAAAUUCCUUUUUUUGUUGUUCCUAAUAGCAGGUUCUCUGUGAUAAAGCAAAGAAGAAUACAAGGAGGGACCGGUGCAGGCAAUUAACAUCAACUGUUAGGACACUGAUUGCAGAACCCUAUCUUCCAGCACAAGUCCUCCAGCUCUCCUGCCAGCUGCAAAGGAACAUUCCUGCCCCCACUCCGCUUAGCCCACUGCUUGGGGAACAGCCUGUGUUGAGCUCUCAGGGUAGAGUUAUACAAAGGUUUUAUUUCCAGUGGGAAAGCCAGUUUAAGCCAGGCAGUUUCCUGCCUGCUAUGCCCUCUUGUUCUGGCUCCUUCAUCACAGCUCACUGUGCCCUUGAUUGUGCCGAUGCAGCUGUUUCUGGGCUGUGCUGUAAAUUG
This 1301-nucleotide long non-coding RNA is filed under the name Gallus gallus (chicken). RNAcentral describes it as "lncRNA (ENSGALG00010006612.1)". The record is from RNAcentral. Lineage: Eukaryota; Metazoa; Chordata; Aves; Galliformes; Phasianidae.